UAGUAGCGUAUAUUAAAGUUGUUGCAGUUAAAGGAUGCGUAGUCUUUUUUUGAAUACGACUGGGGGAUGUGAGCGAAAGUGAAUGUAACUUUGUAGUAUUAGCGAGGCCUUCUGUGCGAAUGGAGGGCUUCAUGUUACCUCGAAUAAAACAAAGCGCUUCAAGCGGGCAAUUGAUGCUUAUAUGAUUCAGCUUGGAAUAACUAAAGAUGACUAGUUGUUGGUUUUGUGCUCAUGGCUGACGACUGGUAAUGAUUGAUAAAGGUAAGUUUGGACAUUAGUACUGGAUGGUGAGCGGUGAAAUUCUUAGACCCAUUCAAGACUACCAAAAGCGAAAGCAUUUGUCAGGGAUUACACUUGUUGAUCAAGCAUUUUAGUCAAGGGAUCGAAGACGAUUAGAUACCAU
Molecule: ribosomal RNA, 403 nt
Filed under: uncultured eukaryote
Lineage: Eukaryota
Description: bacterial SSU rRNA
Rfam family: Eukaryotic small subunit ribosomal RNA
Source: RNAcentral